Neopelma chrysocephalum (saffron-crested tyrant-manakin) is the source of this 530-nucleotide long non-coding RNA. RefSeq lists it as uncharacterized. Lineage: Eukaryota; Metazoa; Chordata; Aves; Passeriformes; Pipridae. The record is from RefSeq and is a predicted model, not a curated record. The transcript is spliced from 2 exons.
CCACCUGGGAUCUGCUCCAGAGGAGCUUCUGAGACCACCCAAGACCCCAAAAUCCACCUGGGAUCUGCUCCAGAGGGGCUUCUGAGACCCCCCCAAAGCAGGGGGAGACCCCAAAAUCCACCUGGGAGCUGCUGGAGACACCGAAAUCCGCUUGGAAUGUGCUGCAAAGGGGCUUUGAGACCCCCCCCCCAGAUCUAAGGAGGGAACCCCAAAAUCCACCUGGGAUCUCUUUGGAAACACUGAAAUCCACCUGGGAUCUAGGACCCCAAAAUCCACCUGGAAUCCGCUCGGGAAACCCCGAAAUCCGCCUGGGAUCUGCUCCAGGGGGGCUUCUGAGACCCCCCCAAAAAUCUGGGAAGGACCCUGAAAUUCCCUUGGGACGUCCCAAAAUGCACCUGGAACCUUCUCGGGGGAGGGGGACCCCAAACCCACCUGGGACCCCCCAAAAAAGGAGCCAAACCCCUCAGAAUCUUCUCUGGAAAGGAACCAAAGCCCCCCCCGGACCCCAAUAAAGGCCCCGGUGACUCCUC